CCCGUCCCAGGGUCGCACCUGGGGAGUUUCCAAUAACUCUGCCAGUCUCGGCUAUGGGAGGGAGAGUCAAGCGGAGGCCUGUCCAUUCCAUUCCUAGCUUGGCCAGUGGCUAGCGGGUGGAAGGCCGUCCGCUACAAGU
Small nucleolar RNA from Ornithorhynchus anatinus (platypus), 139 nucleotides. Lineage: Eukaryota; Metazoa; Chordata; Mammalia; Monotremata; Ornithorhynchidae. The record is from RefSeq and is a predicted model, not a curated record.